Molecule: long non-coding RNA, 246 nt
Filed under: Elaeis guineensis (African oil palm)
Lineage: Eukaryota; Viridiplantae; Streptophyta; Magnoliopsida; Arecales; Arecaceae
Description: long non-coding RNA (EGUI_LNC080092)
Source: RNAcentral
GCCUGGAUUGAGGUCCUCCAAUUCAUAGAUCUUGAAUCGGAGCAUUCUAGAUGGAGAAAAAGGUAGAUGGAGACAGACCUUGCAGAUCUAUCCUGCUGUAGCCUUUCCUGUAGAUCUGUUGAUGGAGAUCUCACCCGUGCCUCAAACGACCUCAGAUCAACUCCAGAUCUGAGAGGGACUUGUAUCAACCUCUUUGCAAGAGAUUCCAAGUCCUGAACCUGAUGCUUGGGUGGCUACAAGAGAGGG